Molecule: transfer RNA, 72 nt
Filed under: Stylonychia lemnae
Lineage: Eukaryota; Ciliophora; Spirotrichea; Sporadotrichida; Oxytrichidae
Rfam family: tRNA
About the family: Transfer RNA (tRNA) molecules are approximately 80 nucleotides in length. Their secondary structure includes four short double-helical elements and three loops (D, anti-codon, and T loops).
Source: Rfam by way of RNAcentral
GGGCCGUUAGCUCAGUGGUAGAGCAUUCGACUGCAGAUCGAGAGGUCGCUGGUUCAAUUCCGGCACGGCCCU